RNAcentral lists this ribosomal RNA (688 nucleotides) under uncultured Glomeromycotina. RNAcentral describes it as "eukaryotic LSU rRNA". It matches the Rfam family "Eukaryotic large subunit ribosomal RNA", at positions 38 to 633 of the family's 3401-position model. The record is from RNAcentral. Lineage: Eukaryota; Fungi; Glomeromycota.
GCAUAUCAAUAAGCGGAGGAAAAGAAACUAACAAGGAUUCCCUUAGUAACGGCGAGUGAAGUGGGAAUGGCUCAAAUUUUAAAUCUGAUCGGGAAACCGGUCCGAAUUGUAAUCUAAAGAAGCGUUUACAGCGUCCUUUCGGGUAUAGGUCCCUUGGAAUAGGGCAUCAUAGAGGGUGAGAAUCCCGUCUGUGACACGAGUUUGGAUGCGAUAUGUUACGCUUUCGACGAGUCGAGUUGUUUGAGAUUGCAGCUCAAAAUGGGUGGUAAAUUCCAUCUAAGGCUAAAUAAUUGCAAGAGACCGAUAGCGAACAAGUACCGUGAGGGAAAGAUGAAAAGAACUUUGAAAAGAGAGUUAAACAGUACGUGAAAUUGUUGAAAGGGGAAACGAUUGAAGCCAGUUAAGUCGGUGGGAAAUCAGCUUCCGGAUUUCUCUGGAGGUGCACUUUCUCGCAGGGCAAGUCAGCAUCAGUUUCGCCAGUCGUAAAAAGUCCGUCAGAAUGUGACUCCUUUCGGAGUGUUAUAACUAACGGUCAAUGCGAUGUGCGAGAUUGAGGAUCGCAAUGAGUGUCUUGCGGGGCUAAGUUUUCGGGUUCUUUGUGAUUGUCUUGGUAACAGCAUGCUGGGUGUCAAGUCGAUUUGCGAGAACGAGAAUUUAGCGUCGUAAAUUCGUUAAGGAUGUUGACGUA